Long non-coding RNA from Musa acuminata AAA Group (dessert banana), 337 nucleotides. RefSeq lists it as uncharacterized. NCBI's taxonomy places the organism in Eukaryota, Viridiplantae, Streptophyta, Magnoliopsida, Zingiberales, Musaceae. The transcript has 3 exons. The record is from RefSeq and is a predicted model, not a curated record.
GAAGAACCUGUAGCGGAGCCUCGAGGUUGACGCUGGCGGUGUCACAAUGGACGGCGGGUAUGUUCUCAGGGCUGCGGACGGUGAUCAAGGUCAUACCUGGUUUCGCAGUGGAAGUUUGGAUCUCGACCCUUGCCGGUACCUUACAUGAAACAAGUACCAAGCAAAAAUGAGAAAGAUCGUCGCAACAUCAAUGGCUGCAUCACUUGAGGGGAACAAGCUGACCUGCUUCAAGCAAUCAAUCCUUCGCUCCGUCUGCACAUCUGCAGUAUUGGCAAGGAGACUCUGCUCGAGCUUGGAGGAAACAUUUCCCAAAUGGUCCACGACUGCUACAAUUGCU